UGCCANAUAGCGUAUAUUAAAGUUGUUGCAGUUAAAAAGCUCGUAGUUGAAUUUCGGGGUUAGUAGGUUGGUCAUGCCUCUGGUAUGUACUGGUCUCACUGAUUCCUCCUUCCUGAUGAACCGUAAUGCCAUUAAUUUGGUGUUGCGGGGACA
Molecule: ribosomal RNA, 153 nt
Filed under: uncultured Glomus
Lineage: Eukaryota; Fungi; Glomeromycota; Glomeromycetes; Glomerales; Glomeraceae
Description: partial 18S ribosomal RNA
Source: RNAcentral